This is a long non-coding RNA of Cottoperca gobio, 256 nucleotides long. RefSeq lists it as uncharacterized. NCBI's taxonomy places the organism in Eukaryota, Metazoa, Chordata, Actinopteri, Perciformes, Bovichtidae. The record is from RefSeq and is a predicted model, not a curated record. The transcript is spliced from 3 exons.
AUCUGAGCAGGAGGAGAGCCGCUCGGCUCCACACUGUGUCGAGUGUGCUGCAGGAUACGUCUCCUCGUGGCUGCCUGUACAGCCGGACUACAGAUCCUCCCUUUCCAUUUUGCUGCCUGUCUCCUUCCAUCCACGUUCCACAACUCAUCUGUCACUCCUGCUUUUUUCUCGUGCCUCGGAGCAACAACACAACCUCCUCCCCUGCCUUUGAAGGAGUAAACCAAACCGGCCAUCUGAAGCUUCCUCUAAAUGAGCC